CUAAAGCUAAAGGCAAACUGGAUUCUGUUCAGGAGGUUCUCCUUUGUCAUUUUUAUCUCCUAAUAGAAGACCUCUGUUUUCCCAGAAGAUUAAAUAAUAGAAAAGAAGUAGCACAAGCCCUGGACAACUUUCAGGAAGACAGUUCUGAUCUGUAGCAAUUAACACGUGGUCAUCCUCAGAAAAAGGAGAUACCCAUAACUUAAAAUGCAGGAACCAAGAGAUUUGAGCCUAGACAUUUGGAUGAAAAGUGAUUUCCACCUGGAGAAAGUCACUGCCCUUCUGUGCAGAG
This is a long non-coding RNA of Pongo pygmaeus (Bornean orangutan), 289 nucleotides long. RefSeq lists it as uncharacterized. The record is from RefSeq and is a predicted model, not a curated record. The transcript has 3 exons. NCBI's taxonomy places the organism in Eukaryota, Metazoa, Chordata, Mammalia, Primates, Hominidae.